RNAcentral lists this ribosomal RNA (402 nucleotides) under uncultured bacterium. RNAcentral describes it as "bacterial SSU rRNA". It matches the Rfam family "Bacterial small subunit ribosomal RNA", at positions 355 to 774 of the family's 1533-position model. The record is from RNAcentral.
UGGGGAAUCUUGCACAAUGGGGGCAACCCUGAUGCAGCGACGCCGCGUGAGCGAUGAAGCCCUUCGGGGCGUAAAGCUCUUUCGACCGGAACGAUAAUGACGGUACCGGGAGAAGAAGCUGCGGCUAACUACGUGCCAGCAGCCGCGGUAAUACGUAGGCAGCAAGCGUUGUUCGGAGUUACUGGGCGUAAAGAGUGCGUAGGCGGUUUUCUAAGUUCGGUGUGAAAUCUCCCGGCUUAACUGGGAGGGUGCGCCGAAGACUGGGAAGCGGGAGUGGGGGAAAGGCAGGCGGAAUUCCUGGUGUAGCGGUGAAAUGCGUAGAUAUCAGGAGGAACACCGGCGGUGUAGACGGCUUGCUAGACCAUAACUGACGCUGAGGCACGAAAGCGUGGGUAGCAAACA